AGGGAAUAGAUACCCUGGUAGUCCACGCCCUAAACGAUGUCAACUGGUUGUUGGACGGCUUGCUGUUCAGUAAACGAAAGCUAAACGCGCGAAGUUGACCGCCUGGGGAGUACGGCCGCAAGGUUGAAACUCAAAGGAAUUGACGGGGACCCGGCACAAGCGGUGGAUGAUGUGGUUUAAUUCGAUGCAACGCGAAAAACCUUAACCCACCCUUGGUCAUGUCUGGAAUUCCGAAGAGAUUGGUAAGUGCUCGAAGAGAGCAGAACACAGGUGCUGCAUGGCCGUCGUCAGCUCGUGUCGUGAGAUGUUGGGUUAAGUCCCGCAACGAGCGCAACCCUUACUCAUUAGUUGCUACGCAAGGGCACUCUAAUGAGACUGCCGGUGAC
Molecule: ribosomal RNA, 386 nt
Filed under: uncultured bacterium
Lineage: Bacteria
Description: bacterial SSU rRNA
Rfam family: Bacterial small subunit ribosomal RNA
Source: RNAcentral